Molecule: ribosomal RNA, 396 nt
Filed under: uncultured bacterium
Lineage: Bacteria
Description: bacterial SSU rRNA
Rfam family: Bacterial small subunit ribosomal RNA
Source: RNAcentral
GAUGAACGCUGGCGGCGUGCUUAACACAUGCAAGUCGAACGAACCUUCGGGUUAGUGGCGGACGGGUGAGUAACGCGUGGGAAUCUGCCCUCAGGAGGGGGAGUAACGGCUGGAAACGGCCGCUAAUACCCACUAUGCCGAGAGGUGAAAUGAAUUUCGCCUGAGGAUGAGCCCGCGUCUGAUUAGCUAGUUGGUGAGGUAAGAGCUCACCAAGGCAUCGAUCAGUAGCUGGUCUGAGAGGAUGAUCAGCCACACUGGGACUGAGACACGGCCCAGACUCCUACGGGAGGCAGCAGUGGGGAAUUUUCCGCAAUGGGCGAAAGCCUGACGGAGCAACGCCGCGUGAGGGAUGAAGGCCUCUGGGCUGUAAACCUCUUUCUCAAGGAAGAAGAUCUG